CUUGCUACUUUUGAGAGCGGCGGACGGGUGAGUAAUGCGUGGGAAUCUACCUGGUAGGGGGGGACAACAGUUGGAAACGACUGCUAAUACCGCAUACGCCCUACGGGGGAAAGCGGGGGAUCUUCGGACCUCGUGCUAUCAGAUGAGCCCGCGUGAGAUUAGCUUGUUGGUGGGGUAAUGGCCUACCAAGGCGACGAUCUCUAGCUGGUCUGACAGGAUGAUCAGCCACACUGGGACUGAGACCCGGCCCAGACUCCUACGGGAGGCAGCAGUGGGGAAUAUUGGACAAUGGGCGCAAGCCUGAUCCAGCCAUGCCGCGUGUGUGAAGAAGGCCUUCGGGUUGUAAAGCACUUUCAGCGAGGAGGAAAGGUUAAGUGUUAAUAGCACUUACCUGUGACGUUACUCGCAGAAGAAGCACCGGCUAACUCCGUGCCAGCAGCCGCGGUAAUACGGAGGGUGCAAGCGUUAAUCGGAAUUACUGGGCGUAAAGCGCGCGUAGGUUGUUUGUUAAUCGAGAUGUGGAAGCCCCGGACUCAACCUGAGAACUGCAUUUCGAACUGGCAAGCUAGAGUACAGUAGAGGGUGGCGGAAUUUCCUGUGU
RNAcentral lists this ribosomal RNA (601 nucleotides) under uncultured bacterium. Its description in RNAcentral is "bacterial SSU rRNA". It matches the Rfam family "Bacterial small subunit ribosomal RNA", at positions 79 to 676 of the family's 1533-position model. The record is from RNAcentral.